RNAcentral lists this ribosomal RNA (253 nucleotides) under uncultured bacterium. RNAcentral describes it as "partial 16S ribosomal RNA". It matches the Rfam family "Bacterial small subunit ribosomal RNA", at positions 524 to 776 of the family's 1533-position model. The record is from RNAcentral.
UACGUAGGGAGCAAGCGUUAUCCGGAAUUAUAGGGUGUAAAGGGUGCGUAGACGGGAUAACAAGUUGGUUGUGAAACCCCUCGGCUCAACUGAGGAACUGCAACCAAAACUAUUAUUCUUGAGUGCAGGAGAGGAAAGUGGAAUUCCUAGUGUAGCGGUGAAAUGCGUAGAUAUUAGGAAGAACACCGGUGGCGAAGGCGACUUUCUGGACUGUAACUGACGUUGAGGCACGAAAGUGUGGGGAGCAAACAGG